RNAcentral lists this ribosomal RNA (811 nucleotides) under uncultured Calothrix sp. RNAcentral's name for it is "bacterial SSU rRNA". It matches the Rfam family "Bacterial small subunit ribosomal RNA", at positions 253 to 1081 of the family's 1533-position model. Lineage: Bacteria; Bacillati; Cyanobacteriota; Cyanophyceae; Nostocales; Calotrichaceae. The record is from RNAcentral.
UGGGGUAAAGGCCUACCAAGGCAUCGAUCUGUAGCUGGUCUGAGAGGACGAUCAGCCACACUGGAACUGAGACACGGUCCAGACUCCUACGGGAGGCAGCAGUGGGGAAUUUUCCGCAAUGGGCGAAAGCCUGACGGAGCAAUACCGCGUGAGGGACGAAGGCUUUUGGGUCGUAAACCUCUUUUCUCAAGGAAGAUGAUGACGGUACUUGAGGAAUAAGCAUCGGCUAACUCUGUGCCAGCAGCCGCGGUAAUACAGAGGAUGCAAGCGUUAUCCGGAAUGAUUGGGCGUAAAGCGUCCGCAGGUGGUUUAGAAAGUCUGCUGUUAAAGCGUGUAGCUCAACUACAUACAGGCAGCGGAAACUAUUAGACUAGAGUAUGUUAGGGGUAGAGGGAAUUCCCAGUGUAGCGGUGAAAUGCGUAGAGAUUGGGAAGAACACCGGUGGCGAAAGCGCUCUGCUAGGACAAUACUGACACUGAGGGACGAAAGCUAGGGGAGCGAAUGGGAUUAGAUACCCCAGUAGUCCUAGCCGUAAACGAUGGAUACUAGGCGUUGCCCGUAUCGACCCGGGCAUUGUCGUAGCUAACGCGUUAAGUAUCCCGCCUGGGGAGUACGCACGCAAGUGUGAAACUCAAAGGAAUUGACGGGGGCCCGCACAAGCGGUGGAGUAUGUGGUUUAAUUCGAUGCAACGCGAAGACCUUACCAGGACUUGACAUGUCGCGAAUCUUUGGGAAACUAGAGAGUGCCUUCGGGAGCGCGACCACAGGUGGUGCAUGGCUGUCGUCAGCUCGUGUCGUGAGAUGUUGGGUU